Molecule: long non-coding RNA, 1418 nt
Organism: Colius striatus (speckled mousebird)
Lineage: Eukaryota; Metazoa; Chordata; Aves; Coliiformes; Coliidae
Exons: 2
Source: RefSeq, a predicted model, not a curated record
CGCAGCUGAUAUUUCUCCUUUUUCCCGCCCCCCGGCACUGCCCGCCCCGGCGCCAUCCCAGGCACCGGCGGCGCAGUCGGCAUUCCUCUCUCCUGCGUUUCCUUAUUCUACCCCCGCGUGCCCAACGGUACCCACGGGGUCGCGCGUCCCCACUCUCCCCUGAUCAUCCUGCGCCGUACUCCCGCCUGACUCCGCCCGCUCGGCAUCCCUCGUCCGCAUUCUCGGCAACUCGUCCCAGGGGUAACCCGGCGGGCUGGGCUCGACUGGGAAGCAGCUCAAGAACAAGUGAUUAAGGUGCAACAGUUGGUGGGGACCCUACAGUGGCUGCUAUCAUUCGUACCAAUCACCCAGGAUGAGAUGCAGAUAUUUUACCUACUUCUCAGAGACGAGCCAGUAGCACAAGCCCCAAGGAUGCUGUCUGACCACCAGAAAGCAUUACUGGCAAACAGAAAGCAUUACUGUCUGACCUGGUUGACCUGGCAACCAGGUCAGCCAUUGGUCACCACUAUCCAUUUGAUUCCACAAGGAGUGCACGAUUUCCUGGGGCAACUUGAUGGUAGUUGUCAUCUCACCAUACUGCAGUAGAUCUAUCAGAGCCAUGAAAAGGUGGCCACGCCAUUUUGGACUCGAGUAUGCGCGGCCAUGAUUUGACGGGUAAGACAGUGUGCAUGGCAACUGUCAGGAAUGGACCCAACUGUCAUUAUGUUGCCUAUUUCAGUUGCACAAUGGAAAAACUGUUUCAGAUGGAGUGGGAGCUCCAAAAUGCCUUAGCAAAUUUUACCGGUCAGCUCAUGCUACUCUUAAAGUACAACUCAGCCGUCUUAGGGAGGGGGAGAGCAUGGGACAUAGAACUCCCCGCGAUAGGCAACACGAUAUUUUAAUGCGCUGUCUGUACAUCCUUAACCAUUUUGUUCGAGGGUCAGGACCCAUACCAGCGCGAGUACACUUUAGGGAGCAAGAACCGGUAGCAGUAGAUAAAUUACCAGCAGUCAAAUUACAGCAAAUUGACACUGGGGAGUAGGAAUCAGGGUGGAAGCUUAGAUGCCUGGGCCGAGGGUAUGCUUGUGUAGAAAAGGAGGUAAUCCAGCAGUGGGUCCCGGCAAAACGAAUACGACCAGAAAUACGAGUCUAACGGUGAGAUUGGGCGGCGAAGUGUAACACGAUCAGCACCUGUUUAUAUCUUCCUGCAAUUGGCUCAGCUAGCAUGUUAUGUAUCAGCCCGUGCCACAGGAUGCUGGAGUCAUCGAGCUUAGUGAGGGGGAGAUGUUGUAGUUGCCUGGAAGAUCUCGGACUGUGACACGAGAGGUGGAGAGUACAGAAGAGGCGGGCACAGGGAGGAGUGAAAGGAGGUGCUUGUGUUAGCAGGUAAAAGUGCAUGGCUCAAGCAAUAAGUUGGAAUAAAACAUCAUCCAUACUGA